Molecule: ribosomal RNA, 552 nt
Filed under: Platalea alba (African spoonbill)
Lineage: Eukaryota; Metazoa; Chordata; Aves; Pelecaniformes; Threskiornithidae
Description: partial 16S ribosomal RNA
Source: RNAcentral
GCCUGUGAAACGAAUCUAAGUUCUCCCUUAAUCACCCUCCAACGGAUAUCCACCCAAACCUGCAUGUAGUGGAUUAAGAGCAAUUUAAAGGGGGUACAGCUCCUUUAAAAAAGAACACAAUCUCCUCUAGCGGAUAAUUGCCACUAACCCUAACUCCGUCUGUGGGCCUUCAAGCAGCCACCAACAAAGAGUGCGUCAAAGCUCUACAUUUAAAGAUCCAAAAACAACAUGACUCCCUUACUCCUAACAGGCUAACCUAUAGUAAUAGGAGAAUUAAUGCUAAAAUAAGUAACUAGGGGUCCGCCCUCUCAAGCGCAAGCUUACAUACCUACAUUAUUAACAGAUCCCACUAAUACUCCAAUUCCAACAAGACUAAGUAUUAACAACACCCGUUAACCCGACUCAGGAGCGCCCACUAGAAAGAUUAAAAUCUGUAAAAGGAACUAGGCAAACUCAGGGCCCGACUGUUUACCAAAAACAUAGCCUUCAGCCUAUCCAAGUAUUGAAGGUGAUGCCUGCCCAGUGACACUGUUUAACGGCCGCGGUAUCCUA